Molecule: ribosomal RNA, 425 nt
Filed under: uncultured bacterium
Lineage: Bacteria
Description: bacterial SSU rRNA
Rfam family: Bacterial small subunit ribosomal RNA
Source: RNAcentral
GUGGGGAAUAUUGGACAAUGGGCGCAAGCCUGAUCCAGCCAUGCCGCGUGAGUGAUGAAGGCCUUAGGGUUGUAAAGCUCUUUCAGUGGGGACGAUAAUGACGGUACCCACAGAAGAAGCCCCGGCUAACUUCGUGUCAGCAGCCGCGGUAAUACGAAGGGGGCUAGCGUUGUUCGGAUUUACUGGGCGUAAAGCGCACGUAGGCGGAUCGUUAAGUCGGGGGUGAAAUCCUGGAGCUCAACUCCAGAACUGCCUUCGAUACUGGCGAUCUUGAGUCCGGAAGAGGUGAGUGGAACUCCUAGUGUAGAGGUGGAAUUCGUAGAUAUUAGGAAGAACACCAGUGGCGAAGGCGGCUCACUGGUCCGGUACUGACGCUGAGGUGCGAAAGCGUGGGGAGCAAACAGGAUUAGAUACCCUAGUAGUCC